Molecule: ribosomal RNA, 391 nt
Filed under: uncultured bacterium
Lineage: Bacteria
Description: bacterial SSU rRNA
Rfam family: Bacterial small subunit ribosomal RNA
Source: RNAcentral
AGUGAACGCUGGCGGCAGGCCUAAUACAUGCAAGUCGAACGGCAGCACAGCAGAGCUUGCUCUGUGGGUGGCGAGUGGCGGACGGGUGAGGAAUACAUGGGAAUCUGCCCAGUCGUGGGGGAUAACGUAUGGAAACGUACGCUAAUACCGCAUGCGCCCUACGGGGGAAAGUCGGGGACCGCAAGGCCUGGCGCGAUUGGAUGAGCCCAUGUUCGAUUAGCUAGUUGGCGGGGUAAAGGCCCACCAAGGCGACGAUCGAUAGCUGGUCUGAGAGGAUGAUCAGCCACACUGGAACUGAGACACGGUCCAGACUCCUACGGGAGGCAGCAGUAAGGAAUAUUGGUCAAUGGGCGGAAGCCUGAACCAGCCAUGCCGCGUGAGUGAAGAAGGC